UAGCAGCAUGUAAAUAUUGGAGU
This 23-nucleotide microRNA is filed under the name Danio rerio (zebrafish). Its description in RNAcentral is "Dre-Mir-15-P2a2_5p (mature (co-guide))". The record is from RNAcentral. Lineage: Eukaryota; Metazoa; Chordata; Actinopteri; Cypriniformes; Danionidae.